Molecule: long non-coding RNA, 5964 nt
Filed under: Sitophilus oryzae (rice weevil)
Lineage: Eukaryota; Metazoa; Arthropoda; Insecta; Coleoptera; Curculionidae
Description: uncharacterized LOC115876757, transcript variant X4
Source: RNAcentral
AAGAAUUGCUAAUAUACAGAAUAAUUUUUUUCUGUACACGUUGAUAAUAAUAAUUCUCAAAUAUAUAUUUACUUAAAUACAUAUUCAACGAAAGUUAAUAUAAAGACUGUAUAACCUCAGGGGCUCACAUCUUGUGAGUACGGGCGUGGCAAGCCCGAGGUACCCUAGCUGGAUGCUCACUUUGCUUCAAGUUUUCUUGGGUGAGAUCCCUUGCUUUUGCCUUUUCUAUGAAACUCUCUUGAUGACUUUUAGACACUUGAACUCUUCGUAUUUCUGCUUCUUACCUUCUUCUCUGAGGCUCAAUGCUCAAUAGGCUCGUGCGACUGCAGUUGAUAGUCUGUAGUGUGAGAUCCACCCAUGAUCCACCCUCCUAAUUAUUUUCAAAAAAAAAAAAUUGUUCGGGUUUUUCAUUUUAUUUUAUAUGGGUAUUUUUAACGAGACCUCGUUUAAGGAGUUAGCUUUAUUAGUUUCCGAGAGAUUCCCGAAAAACAAUUUUUUUUAAGGGACAUUUAAACUUCAUUCAUUUUUAAACAAUGAUAGCUGCCCUAGUUGUAGUUAAGUUGAACUUGACCUAUAUUUUCGAAUUCCUUUUACAGUAACUUAUAUUUCAUUCAAAAGUUGCCGCUAUAAGCUCCGCCCUAAUCCAAAAUGGCCACGGUUUUCAAGUUGUCAUAUAUUAAUUUCUUAUUGGUCCAUGUUGUAUCUUGUACGGAGUAUAAUCAUUAAUCUUUGGUUUUUGACUGUCGUUUUUGAUUUAACACACAUUUGACAUCUUAAUUUGGGCAGAAUUUCUUUUUGUAUUUUUAAUAGGAAACGUUUGUUUAUUUUCUUCGCGUAGUUACAACAAACAGAUUUCAGUUAUAAGCUUUUCUCAGUCUCUCCAAACAGUAAGUGUUUAAUAUUUUGUGUUUGUUUAAUUAUUUUCCUGUCCAGAACACGGGCCAUAACGUUUAUCCUAAGGUUUAUCCCAAGUAGUGAUUGGAUUGAACGUUGUCUUCUAAUUUUUUUAUCUAUUUAACUUUAAAGUGAAUUUUUAAAUUACGCUGUAAUUUACAAAAGAAAUAAAUCACUCGUAACGGUCAAAACAAGUUUAUCAAAGUUCAAAGCAGUAUUUAUAUUGUCGGAGCUUAUGAAGCAGUGAAAUGGAGGAUGAAAAAUAGAAGAGGGAAUAAGAAGAAUAUGAAAUUAAGAUGACGAGGAGUGGAUUGAAGAUGUUUUAAGAAUUGGAGGGUGAAGAAUAAGAGAUCAACUACCUAUAAGAAUCUAUGAGAAAUUUUCAAGCGAAAUCAUUGCAGUGCAAGUUGUGGGAUAACAGUAUUUUGGCUACACAUUCCUUGUAAAAUGGAAUAUUUUCCAAACUACUAUGUUGGAUGAUCUUCGUGUUUGUAGAAGAGUAGUAUCAGAUGUGUGCUAUCUCAUGUCCUUAGUUUUUUAACUAUUGUAAAAGUUUAGAAACAGAAGCAUUCUUUGACAAAAUAAUUGUUAUGGAGAGAUCAAAAGGUGACGCUCCAGAGCGCGACGCUGCUUUUUUCUAUAGAAGAGACAAAUCUGCACAACAGGACAGCCACACUAUGGACGUGACGUGAAGAAUUUGUUGUUAUGCAUCUGCCUGACGUCGAUUUCGGAUUCGGGAUUCCGAAUAGAGAGGCUAGUACACCCCAGCUCAACCUAAAACCAACUAAAGAUAAUUCGCGUUCGGGGCGCGUUUAAAUCAAAGAAGAUUCCAGAUGAAAUAUUGCAAAACGCGUGUGAUUGGUCCUAAAGCUUCUUCAAUUAGUUCUCAUUAGAAUCCUUCUAUAAGAAAAAGGUAACCGCAGCUGGGCUAGGGCCAUCUUCAUCAGUUGGUAUGCGUAGGCGUUUGUGGCUAUUGUCUUCUCUUAUGUUAUUGUAAAGACGCCUAUAAUUUUGGAAAAAAUAUAUAUUGAUAAAUAAGACGAUGGAGCAGGAAAAUGAGAGGAAUAGAAGAGGACUUGGAAAAUGAUAAGAAUAGAAGAGGGAAUAUGAAAUUGAGAUGAUGGAGGAGCUGAAUGAAAAUGUGUUUAAAACAGUGGAGCGAGAAUUAUAAGUUAAAUCGCUUUUAAAUAUUCACAAGUCUCUCGGGGUGGUUUAGCUUUUUUGAGGGGACAUGCAGACAUUUUACCAGUGCAGAGCUCACUAUAAGAAAGCACUUUUCUUCAGCUGAAUAUUGCCUCUAUAAAUGGAAUAUGUUGUGUUCUAAGCACUCUUGGUUGGUCCCUCUCAUGAUUUAGAUGAUGCUAUCUUACGUCUUAGUAUUUCAGUAGAUUGGCCAACUUAUCAAGCAAUCUAGAAACUGGAAUUUGCUUGUAAAAAAUGAAAUACAUACUGCAAUAUGGCCUCAAGAGCCUCGUUUUUUCUCUCAUAUCUCACAAUGUAACAGCUGUAAAAAUUAAUUGUCCUAGCUCAUGAAUGAAUCUGGAAGUGGCAACUUUCUGUUACAAAUGUAUUUAUUUUUCUGCUUCAGGCUGUUGCUUCCCUCCUGCGCCUCCUCAUCUUCAGCUGCAUUCAGCAAGAGUUCCUCCUGCUCCUUCAUAAUAUACCAAAAGGCUGGUUCUGUAUAUUAUGUGUAUAGGCGUUUAUUUUUAUUGGUACUGUUGUAAAACUUUGAUAAUCUGGACAAACUUUAGGCUUUGAAAAUGUCAUUGUACUGCAGAAAAAAUUAUAUAGGUGAUAAUUUAUCCAUCAUUUGUCAACUAUAAUAUAUCAACUAUAUAUAAUAUCAUCAAAAUGUCAACUAUAAUAUACCUAUAAAUCAGUAAAAUAAAUCAAAAAGUCAUAUUUUGUUAUAAUAAAAUUUAUUUUCAAGUAUCUUUAAUUAAUGCAAAAUUAUGAUUAUUUUAUUGUCGCCGUCAUAAUUAUUUUUAUUUAUUUACUAACUUUUUUAGUGUAUUACCUUAUGGACAUCUGACAUCUUUCAUAUUUUUUUUAAUUCCUAUCGGUUCUAAUUAACAACCAUAGAAUUGCCAGAUUAUCAUAGUUAUUUUUUUGAAUAGUCAAUAUAUUUUAAAUUAAUGAAUUAAUUAUAUAGUGAUCAUUAACAAGAAUAGAAGUACCGUAUGAUCGAAAAAAGAAACGGCGUCCAGUUGGCUAGGAAAUGACGAUCGAUGUCAUUUCCCAUAUAAAUGUACAUAUAAAAUGACAGCGAUCUUCAUUUCAUAGCCAUCUCUGACGCCGUUUUCUUUCAAUCAUACGGUACUAUUUUGAAGCAUAUUAUAUAAAUGAAACCGACAAUUGCAUCAGUACAAUACAUUAUAUAUUUAUGUUAAAUAGGAGCAAUCUGAAGUCUGUUUCACUAGUGCUAUCUGUAUAUGCACGGCAGAGAUUAGAUUCCUAGAGAUGGCUCUCGGCGAGAUCCACUGCGGGCCACGUCUAGGAAUCACAAGAUAAAAGGUAAAAUAAAUAUUUUAAUAUAUUUUUUUAUUAAUUUACUUAAUUUAAAAGCACAAUGAAAUUAUAACUGUUUUAUAUAUUAUAUUUGUAACACAUUUCUCAAUAUUUAUCUUGUUCACGUUUGUUUCACGUAAAUUUACUCCUGUACGAAAAGAAUAUUUGAUUCAAAGCAUACAAUCUUAUACAAUUGUGUUCAUCAGCACCUAUGAUCAGCACCUUUCAAUAUAUUUUUUAAAUAUGGGUCCAAUAAGUAAAUUGGGAAUAUAUACUUCAGAGAUCGCAACUAUUCCAUAUAUUGUUUUUACUUAUGUUUUACUUACUGCGUAGGUAAAACUGUCUAUUAUUUCUAUGUUUGUAUGUUAAUAUUAGGAUAUAUUUGAUAUUAAUAAAAUGUCAGUAUUUUUGUUUCUUCGAAAGAUCUCAUACAUUGCAAUAGAAGGAGUGUUAGUGCCAAUUAAAAUCAUUUUAAUUAUUUUUUCGUCUUAGAGUACUUUCUAGAACAGUAGGUUCUGUAGUGGACUUUUGGUUUAUUUUUUGAACUGUGGCAAGUUUAUAAACCUACAAAUGUAUCUAAAUACAGAGUUAACUAAAACGUUUUAUCAAUUUACUGAGUGGGUUUUCAUUGUUGCCAUCUUAAUUAUUAUGUUUGAUAAAGUAACCCUUAAAUAACUUAGGUUAUAGACACAAGUCACGAUACAGUUAUCAAUAACAUCAUUUUUAAGUAAGCGUUUUAUAAAUAUAUACAAAUAGUUGUUACUUGAAUUACACGUUAUUUAUUAACUAACUUUUACGUCGUAUUUUGCUUAAAAAAACUCUUGAUAUGACGUAUGGGCAUCAUGCCCAAUCCUAUUAAGAUGCCAGCAAUUUUUUUUAUUAAUACUAAUAAUUGCAUUCUUACUGUUUCCCUGUUUUUUUUACAAUAUUCAGAACUCGUUUUUUAAUAGCUAAUAAAGUCUUAAAAAUUUUAUUCUUAAACAUUUCACAACAAUAUUUCUGGUAAGUAUUUCUUCAAAACGUAUAAUAUUUUUUAUAUUCAUUCUUAUUUUAUUUUUAAACAUUUUUAGCUAACUUGAAAUAUAAAACUAAAGAAGUUUUUCAAGCAUUUUAAUGUUUUUCAUUAUAAAUUGUAUUUAUAGUUCAACAUUUUCAGAUUACAGGGGUAAAACUAAUAGUAAGUUAACUAAGGUUAUGUGUAUGUUUUUUUCAUUUAUAUAGAAACCUAAUAAUAAUAAAUAAUUUUUAUUUUUAGUUAAAAAUAACUAGUAAUGUUUUUUAAUACGACUUAACUAACAUAAAUCAUUAUUAGUAUUAGAGUUUAACCGUUCGAUUUUGAGGGUGCUAAUAUAAACUUGUCACAUACCUAUACUGAACCAUCUAUAUCUUUAUGCGAAAAUGUAUGAGGUCUUUUAUUUGUGGAAUAUUAAAGGAUUGUGCUGCGGUGUAAAUCGGCGAUGUAGGAAAGGUAAGAAUUAGAAUAGUCGCUGUCUAAGAUUUUUUGCUCUACGCCUGUGUUUCAUUCAUUCUAUAUUCCUAUUUUCCGUUAAAUGAUUAAAAUACUCCAAAUAUACCACGGGCGUAGCAUAGAAACAGUCAUUCCUUGGUGCCUUAUUAUACGCUUAGUUAUACUUUUUACUUUUUUUGUAAAUAUUGAACACUUUAAAUUUUUGAAAUGAUGCAGAUUAAAUCUUAUUUCAUUUCUCUAAGAGUAUUUAAAACCAAUUUUUUUUUUCAUUUGGUUGGUACACUGUGUACCUAUGAAAUUAAUUUUUAGCUCUAGUAGUUCCUCAACGACCAUUCGCCAUUCAAAACUUCUAAAAAUCUAACCAUUUAUCUACAAUACUCUGUCGAAUAGCGCGAAUAACCAUGUAUAUAAAGUUUCGAAUUAAAGUAUUCCUCUAGUUUGAGAUAUUUAUUCUAAUAUAUUAUAUAUUAAUUACGCAUACUGUAAUCUAAUUUUUCUUAAUAUUAAAACUGAAAAGUACUACGCACCUGAAGAGUUCUAUAAAUUCUGCGACAGCUACUUACCGUCUUUACGUCAUUAUAAGCCGAUUUCAGCCCACUAAUAUCUUUUCUUUUGCAGUUGGCCUUGCCUACAACACAUUUUCAAAUUCUGUAAUGAAAAUGUGUAAUAGGAGAAAAUAUACAAAAAGGAGUAUAAGUUUAAUAUAACUUAAACUUAACUUCUUUAGGUGGCCACACCGGUGCAAUACCUCUGUAGCGACCCAGAGCCUAUGACGGCGGUGGGCGGCAUCGGAGAAUUCCAUGCACAAGCCAGCUGCCACAUAUUUUGAAUCAUUUACUGCUAGGGUCGCACUCAUGGUCGCACUGCUGCACAAUCAUUUUAGUAUUCCAGAAAAAUUUUCGCAGUUGGCCUUGUCCGCUACAAUUAUAGCGGGCAAUGAAGACUUCUGGCUGCACCGAGCCAUGGGCCAACGUGGCUUUGGAAGAACUUCCAUAUGCAGUCCAUAUUGGUCUUUUUCUCGGUACAGCCAUGAAAGAUUUGUGUUGGAGAGUGACACACACACACUCCUUUAUGUAUGCGUUUAGUACACAUGU